GAUGAACGCUGGCGGCGUGCCUAAUACAUGCAAGUCGAGCGAACAGACGAGGAGCUUGCUCCUCUGACGUUAGCGGCGGACGGGUGAGUAACACGUGGAUAACCUACCUAUAAGACUGGGAUAACUUCGGGAAACCGGAGCUAAUACCGGAUAAUAUAUUGAACCGCAUGGUUCAAUAGUUAAAGACGGUUUUGCUGUCACUUAUAGAUGGAUCCGCGCCGCAUUAGCUAGUUGGUAAGGUAACGGCUUACCAAGGCAACGAUGCGUAGCCGACCUGAGAGGGGGAUCGGCCACACUGGAACUGGGACACGGUCCAGACUCCUACGGGAGGCAGCAGUAGGGAAUCUUCCGCAAUGGGCGAAAGCCUGACGGAGCAACGCCGCGUGAGUGAUGAAGGUCUUCGGAUCGUAAAACUCUGUUAUUAGGGAAGAACAAAUGUGUAAGUAACUAUGCACGUCUUGACGGUACCUAAUCAGAAAGCCACGGCUAACUACGUG
RNAcentral lists this ribosomal RNA (497 nucleotides) under uncultured bacterium. RNAcentral's name for it is "partial 16S ribosomal RNA". It matches the Rfam family "Bacterial small subunit ribosomal RNA", at positions 28 to 507 of the family's 1533-position model. The record is from RNAcentral.